CUGGUGAGCUGCUGAGCUGCUGAGCUGGUGACCUGGAAUUCGCCAAAAGGGCAAAAAAGGAAAAUAACUCGACUGCGUAACAAAAUCCCGAUGAACGAAGCUCAAAUGCCCUGGAGUGUGACAU
Molecule: long non-coding RNA, 124 nt
Organism: Drosophila erecta
Lineage: Eukaryota; Metazoa; Arthropoda; Insecta; Diptera; Drosophilidae
Exons: 2
Source: RefSeq, a predicted model, not a curated record